This 162-nucleotide unclassified non-coding RNA is filed under the name uncultured Geastrum. RNAcentral's name for it is "sequence contains ITS1". The record is from RNAcentral. Lineage: Eukaryota; Fungi; Basidiomycota; Agaricomycetes; Geastrales; Geastraceae.
CCGUAAGAUAACUAGGGUUUUAGAGACUGCGUUAAAAUACGUGUGCUCGGCCCUUCCUUCUUUAAUCCAUAUACACCUCUGUGCACUAUGGGGACGCAAGUCCUCCAUUUAUAAAAACCAAGUUAAAUGCAUGUUUUUGUUGAUACUCUAUGGAGUUAUAUA